This 219-nucleotide non-coding RNA is filed under the name Pseudomonas sp. Lineage: Bacteria; Pseudomonadati; Pseudomonadota; Gammaproteobacteria; Pseudomonadales; Pseudomonadaceae. RNAcentral also lists the same sequence under 1 other name. The record is from RNAcentral.
CCUUCGCGGUUUGUUUCAGGUGCCCGGCAGCCAACGGCUGGCAGGGUGAAACAGGGAAGCCGGUGGGAAGACACGCACUUCGAUUCCGGCGCUGCCCCCGCAACGGUAAAUGAGUCAAGACCGCGCAUCGUGCCACUGGACAUUCUCCGGGAAGGCGCACGGUCGGCAGGCAAUGCCUCGCUCAUGAGCCCGGAGACCGGCCUGUCACGUAUUCAAGGC